UGAGGAAUAUUGCACAAUGGGCGCAAGCCUGAUGCAGCGACGCCGCGUGUGGGAUGAAGGGGCUACGCCUCGUAAACCACUGUAGCCCGGGACGAAAAACGCCUUAGAGGCGUUAGACGGUACCGGGAAAGUAAGGGUCGGCUAACUACGUGCCAGCAGCCGCGGUAAUACGUAGGACCCAAGCGUUGUCCGGAUUUACUGGGUGUAAAGCGCGUGCAGGCGGAUUGGAGAGUUGGAUGUGAAAGCUCCCGGCUUAACUGGGAGAGGUCGUUCAAUACUUGCAGUCUUGAGGGCAGUAGAGNGAAGUGGAAUUCCGGGUGUAGUGGUGAAAUGCGUAGAUAUCCGGAGGAACACCAGUGGCGAAAGCGGCUUCCUGGACUGUAACUGACGCUCAGACGCGAAAGCUAGGGUAGCAAACG
Molecule: ribosomal RNA, 419 nt
Filed under: uncultured bacterium
Lineage: Bacteria
Description: bacterial SSU rRNA
Rfam family: Bacterial small subunit ribosomal RNA
Source: RNAcentral